GUUCAUCAUAUCAACUUAAAAGAUGAUGAUACGUCAGUGUUGUGUUCACUACUUGUUUCUGCUGAAAACAAAUGGACAAAUCAGUUUGUGCAAGAAGAUGAACUGGACUUUUAGUGUCACAUGCCAAGUGUACAGGACUUAUAGAGAAGAUAACUUGCUAAAUUGCAAAUGAAACAUCAAGUGAAGUACAGUGGGCGCCUGACGCUGGGCAGCUCAUGUUCUUGAAAUAAUGGCGUUCGAGGAGUUGUAAGUUUGUAAAUAGGCAUAUUGAAACACUGAAUUAACAGCAUUUGACAAGCUCAGAACAGCUUAUUGUGAAGAAAAAUGCAGAUUAAAACCACACUUGGCUUGUGACAUUUUAGUGCCAGAAGACUUGAAAAACUCAUCCCACUUAUUUUCUGGCUUCAGUAACCUCACAGACACUACAGUCAUGUUUUUCUCUGUUUUUCUUUUAUGACAGCAAUCAGAAAACAUUUCACACACACACACACACACACACACACACACACACACACACAUCUGUCUCCCGUCCAACAUUUUUCAAAUCUUCUAAAGUGUUGUAUUAGACAGAAAUGGACUGCAAACCUUGUUAUUACAAACUUUUUUACAGAAAGUGAAGUGACCAUUGUCAGGCUUCUGUUUGUCUCCUGAUGAUAAAUGGAUCUUCGCCUCUUAGUAAACACAGCUCACAUUGUGAGUUUUAACAAUAAGUCCCUGAUUCUCUCCGGACCAGCGCUCACAUUGGAUGUGUAUCCUUGUCACGGCUCUGGGCUGUCGGCCUGGGACCGUUUGAUACGAGGAAGCCGCUCAACUGAACUACAAAACAAAUUAAUUUUUGUCACCGGAGUCGGGCCGAAAACUUCCCAAAGUUGAAUCACAGAUUUUUUUUUUUCCUUCCAGCAGGGGACCGUGAUACCACAGAGCCGGAGCUGCAGACGAGUGUCGAUUACAUCUGUUUUCUGUCCCUUCAAACGUGUCAAAUUAACCUGACGUGCAAGACGCCAGAAGUUACACAACCGUCUUGUCAUGCAGGCGUCAAGAAAAUGUCACAACACAAAAGAAGUUUGAUUCUAGUUAAAGCGCUGCUCUUUCUGGUUUUUUUCUCCACAAGGAUUAAAGAACUGAACACCGUCACGCUGCUGCCUUCAGACGCUCCUCGCUCACUGCAGAUGAACAAUGACGUUAUUAACGGCUGAAAGGAGUCGGUGCAGCUCCGCUAUACAUGACGACAUCACUCAACACAACACACUGCACUGUAAUUUUGUUUUACAGCCCUGUGUUGUACAUUCAUUCAUUCUGUGGUGGCCAAUAAAACUGGAAUACUUC
Molecule: long non-coding RNA, 1326 nt
Organism: Thunnus maccoyii (southern bluefin tuna)
Lineage: Eukaryota; Metazoa; Chordata; Actinopteri; Scombriformes; Scombridae
Exons: 3
Source: RefSeq, a predicted model, not a curated record